This 442-nucleotide ribosomal RNA is filed under the name uncultured bacterium. RNAcentral describes it as "partial 16S ribosomal RNA". It matches the Rfam family "Bacterial small subunit ribosomal RNA", at positions 338 to 795 of the family's 1533-position model. The record is from RNAcentral.
CCUACGGGAGGCAGCAGUAGGGAAUCUUUCACAAUGGGCGAAAGCCUGAUGGAGCAACGCCGCGUGCAGGAUGAAGGCCUUCGGGUUGUAAACUGCUUUUAUAAGCGAGAAAUAUGAUGGUAACUUAUGAAUAAUGAUCGGCUAACUACGGGCCAGCAGCCGCGGCCAUACGUAGGAUCCGAGCAUUAUCCGGAGUGACUGGGGGUAAAGAGUUGCGUAGGUGGCAUAAUAAGUAGCUAGUGAAAUCUGGUGGCUCAACCAUUCAGACUAUUAGCUAAACUGUUAAGCUCGAGACCGUUAGGGGUAACUGGAAUUUCUAGUGUAGGAGUGAAAUCCGUAGAUAUUAGAAGGAACACCAAUAGCGUAGGCAGGUUGCUGGGACGGGUCUGACACUAAGGCACGAAAGCGUAGGGAGCAAACGGGAUUAGAUACCCUAGUAGUC